Molecule: long non-coding RNA, 4621 nt
Organism: Asparagus officinalis (garden asparagus)
Lineage: Eukaryota; Viridiplantae; Streptophyta; Magnoliopsida; Asparagales; Asparagaceae
Exons: 4
Source: RefSeq, a predicted model, not a curated record
AUGUUAUUUUGGUAGUUGAAGUGCAAGUUUUGGUAUCUGGAAGUGAAAUGGUGCUAAAGUUUAGAAUUUGAUUAUACCUUUUGUUGUUUCACUAUCAUAGAAGUUACUUCCAAUGUGGGUGACCUAGACGGUUGAGAGGUUCCAAUAUGUCACACUGUCUUGGGUUCAAUUCCUUGCUAUAUUAUUAAAAAAAUGAAAAGAAAAAAAAGAAAGAAUUAACAAGUUACUUCGCCUCAUUUUUAUUAUUAUUCCAGGCUAUAGCUUAUGAUCCUUCAUAAAUGGGUAAAUUUCACGAAUCCCGCUUGAACUUCUUUUUGUUGGUGGUGGUUUUAAAUUUUUGGGGUGACCCUGUACUUUCUUAAUCAGAAAAAGAACCCUUGAACUUACAAAAAAGUGCGUCAACUGUUGGUAGUAUCAAAAAUUCCGCCGCCUUGGGAUUUUGGUGAAAAUGGAUUUAAGAAAGACUAGCUGACCAAUUAUUAGCUGUGUCCUUAUCUUGAUUUUGAUCAGAGCAAGGGUGUCUUAUUAAACUUUCAUCUAGCUUGUUAAUCACUUCUCUUUGAGCGAUGGAAACAGUGGGUGAUUCUAGAUCAAGUUCAAAAGAGAAGAGAUCAUUUGAGGUAAUUUCAAAUCUAGAAUUCUCAAUCCUAAAUUCAUUGUUUGGGAAGCAUCCAUGUAAUAUUUGUCACAUGUGCAACUUGAAACAACAUACUUUUUUGUUAAUCGAUAUGAUUUUAACGUGACGUCUCAUAUUGUGUACCUGAUGUUUUUAAUAUCCAUUCGAUUAUGAAUGGCCCAUGGAUAAAUAGCAUUUUAGUAGAGCAUCUUAGUCCAAAGUUAUACCAUGUCAUUUACAGUUGUAUGCUAAUUGAGGACUUAGGGUGUUCAUCUGGUAUGAUUUUCAGAAAAGAAACCGCCUUCUCGCCUUUAUCCUGUUGCCUUGUUUGAGGAGGGACAUCAACAAUUAAACAAAAUGAGAGUAAGGGACAGCAGCAAUUAAACAAAAUGCAGGACACUUAAAAAAAGUUGAUAUUGUUUGCUGUUUGUUUUGGUCUCUUUUGAUAGCGCCACCUCUUAUGUACAUCAUCAGCCUUGUGAGGGAGAGUGGAUGUGUUUAUAUCCUUUUGUCCCUAAGGUCCCUAAGGUUAUCAAUUUUGUAGUUGUGCCUCCACCAUAGGGGCACAACUACAAAAUUACUGUCUUGUACAUCAAACGAUGCCCAUUUGUCGGUUUAUUGUUGUAUCAGUAGAAUGUUUGAACUGUUGUAUCAGUUUAUUCUUUUUUGCGAGGGAUUGGAUAAUCAUGUGACGUCUGGACUUGUUGGAUCAAGAAAGAUAAUAAGAUGCAAAGGUGAGGAAACAUAUUUAUUUGUAUUGAAAAGAGUUCAUACUUCAUAAUUUAUAUGCGUAGCUGCUAAUUGAAUCUUCUUAGUGUUCAGGGUUCAACCUGUGCCUUAUCACUUGCAGACCUGGAUUUAUUUUGCAGUGAGUGCAAAUAAUGUGUUUGAUUACCUCGUCCUUUGUAAGCUCAAGAGUAAUCCAAGCUAAACAUUCCCACCUAUAUUUGCACUGAGUACGAAUAGAUAUAUUAAACUCCAGCCUGUGGACUGUAGCUCUAAGAUCAUCAAUUCUGACAAAGUCAUGAUAUAUAACCUUAAACUGAAACUUGAUCUCACACCCCCGUGUAUUUUUCUGUUCAGACCUACAACCACUGAACUGAUGGAAACUUUGUUUGGUACUAUAUUUGAGAGACAAUACUAGGAUUUUGCAUUGUUGGUCUCAAAGUUCUACAAUUAAACUUUUUUUGAUAAGCAAAUGCAUCUAUGUUUAAUAAGGACACUUAAUAUAUUCUUUGUUCAAGUUGAAUAUAUUAACCUAUAUUAACCUAUAAGUUUCAUGUGUCAAAAGUUUUCAUUUCAGCUGUGUAUUCUCAUGAUUCUGAUAUAAAAUUUUCAAAUGAAGUAUACGGCAUUCUAAGUUGUUAAUUAUGCUAAAAUAUGUCUCUAAAGAAUUUGAGGGCAUAAGGCAUUGCUAUCCAUGUGAAUAGUACUGGAUAAUACCUAUCGCUUUAUUUUCUUGUUUCUGACUUAUUUUGAUAUCACUGGGUUCAGGUUAUGACGGUUUAAUUUGACUUGUCUACUUCUCUCAGUUAGGAUAGUUGAACUCUAUUAGAACUUGGUGUUCAGUUGGAGAUUACUAUUUUAAUUAUUUAUUUACCUCACCUUUUCCUUUUAUUCCAUCUUCUCUUAAUUUAUUUUCUUUCUGAUAUCAGAACGGCCAUCACCGUCUUCACCUGAAAUCUUUUUUCUAGCAUAUUUUAUUUUAGGUUAUCUCGAGUUUCAGCUGUCAAACAGAUUCUAGCCCUUCUAAACCUUUGUUUCCUUUUUACUCAUCGCGACAUUUGUGGGCGAUAAGUGUAAAUAAUCACUAUUGGUGCUUGUUUUCUUUCGUUUUGCAGUUGCAGGUUGUAUGAAGAAUUGCUACACAAGUAACUGAAGUUGUAAUGCUUUUGUGUUAAGAGUCUAUCGACCUUGAGCUUCUAAAACAAGAGGAAAAUAUUUGACUAGGAUGGGCUUCUGAUGUUGCUUUCAUUCUUUAGUUUCACUCGAUCUUUUUAAUGGUUUUUAUUUGAUUUGAUUUGCUUCCAUGUAGUACUUAUGUGCUGAAGUAGGAUUUUGCAUUGUUGGUCUCAAAGUUCUACAAUUAAACUUUUUUUGAUAAGCAAAUGCAUCUAUGUUUAAUAAGGACACUUAAUAUAUUCUUUGUUCAAGUUGAAUAUAUUAACCUAUAUUAACCUAUAAGUUUCAUGUGUCAAAAGUUUUCAUUUCAGCUGUGUAUUCUCAUGAUUCUGAUAUAAAAUUUUCAAAUGAAGUAUACGGCAUUCUAAGUUGUUAAUUAUGCUAAAAUAUGUCUCUAAAGAACCUGAUAAUUUAAUAUGUUGCUUUAAUUUGUUGGCAACAAAAUCAUGAUAAACUUUACAUCUGCUAAGUGGACAAAUAGAUAAUUCUUCAUAUAUAAGAUCUGAAGCAAUUUAAUGAAUUAUUAUUUUGUAGGUCAUGAGCAAACCUCCUGCAAUUCAAAUGGAAGGUUUUGAUGCAGAAGUUUCUGGUUGGUGUUAUCUUGAUGGUCCCUUGCUAUGCCAUUGAAUCAGUAUUGUUUCUGCUCCUAGAUAUAUUUAUCAAUUUUUGUAUCAUAUACAAACUAUUUGAAAUUAGUCCUUCAAAUUAUUUAAUUGCUAUUUGGUCCCUUUUUUAAGCUAUUUGAAAUUGGUCCCUCAAAUAAUUGAAGUUGCUAAUAUGGCCUUUGAUACUUAAGUUAUUUUGAAAUUAGUUGUUUAAAUAAAGAGUAGAAUUGCAAUUCAAAUGACAAAUUUGAAACAACUUACGACAAUUGACGGGUCUAAUAGAAAUCUCGAUACGCAACAACUCCAUAUGUAGCAGUCACCUACAACGCACAUGCUCCUCACUAGUUCUUAGGAAAAUAAUUAGAGCAAUAUUUAAAGGGCAUUUAGAGGUGGAAAAAGUACUGUAGCCACUGGUAAUACUUUAUGUUGAAGGACAUUUUUUAUUACCAGAACACAAUCUGGUAUCUGUCCAGAAAACAUACGUUGGACGAGUUGUAGGCACAUUGCUCUAAGGUGCCAGCAGUUUAAGCAAUUGGGUGCGCCUUGCUAUCUUCGUUGUUAUUUUUGAGCUUGAUUUGGAUUUUUUUUUAAUUUUGUUUUUUUUGUCUAUGAAAUUACAGGAGCAGAAGUUUCUGGUUGGUGUUAUCUUGAUGGUUCCUUGCUAUGCCAUUGAUUCGAUAUUGUUUCUGCUCCCAGAUAUAUUUAUCAAUUUUUGUAUCAUAUGCAAACUACUUCAAUUAGAGAAAUAUAUCAUAACUUUCAAAUAAGUAGAACGCUGCCCAUGUGCUUUCAGAAAAGUAUGUGAUAGUUUUGUGAUAAUACCUCAAAGAGUCCAUGGUAGUCACUGAGGACGGCAUAACUCAUAUGUUUUAGUGAUUUUAUUUCCUCUGUUCAUAUAACUAAACCGAUUUAGUAACUAAACUGGUUUAUCGCCGCUUUGUCCGAAAAUAUUUAAGUGACUUAAAAAAGACCCCCUUCGCUCAUUCCCUGUUGGGAUUAUGGAUAACGGUGACGAAUAUGGCUGUGAUUAGAUGCUCUUGAUAACUUUAGCCUUUUUUGUUAAAAUGGUUGGAUUUGGUAGUGGCAACAAACAAGCAUGAUGUACAUUGUUCUCUUAACUUCCUUUUCAAACAUCUUUUUUUCCCAAUUUUAUUAUCAUCAUUGCAAAAAUUAUGCUGAUUCAUGAAAAUUUACACAGGUACAGAAAUGAUGAAAGCCAAGAUUGAGAUUGAUACUGACAUGCUCCUAGUGAGUAUUUGACAUUGAGGAACAAGUUUUUGGAAACAAAUAGAGAAUAUAGUCUUCGACCGAGAAGUUUCAUGUUUUGUAAUCAAAUGUUGAUGUACAUUCUUUGAAUGUUAGUUCGGUACGAUAUUUUCUGAGUUGAAAUGUUGGUAGUGUGGAUUUAAUACUUUGUAGUUUUUAUACUAUACUGAUGUAUGUUGGCACUUAUCAUUAUGGUUGAUUAUGCUCAACAUAAUCACUUUUAUAUUGUGUA